RNAcentral lists this ribosomal RNA (576 nucleotides) under uncultured bacterium. RNAcentral describes it as "bacterial SSU rRNA". It matches the Rfam family "Bacterial small subunit ribosomal RNA", at positions 202 to 798 of the family's 1533-position model. The record is from RNAcentral.
GAAAGAUUUAUCGCUUUAAGAUUGGCCCGCGGAAGAUUAGGUAGUUGGUGGGGUAAAGGCCUACCAAGCCGACGAUCUAUAGCUGGUCUGAGAGGACGAACAGCCACAUUGGAACUGAGACACGGUCCAGACUCCUACGGGAGGCAGCAGUGAGGAAUAUUGGGCAAUGGAGGAAACUCUGACCCAGCCAUGCCGCGUGAGUGAAGAAGGUUUUCGAAUUGUAAAGCUCUUUCGGAUGUGAAGAUGAUGACGGUAACAUCUAAAGAAGCCCCGGCAAACUUCGUGCCAGCAGCCGCGGUAAUACGAAGGGGGCAAGCGUUGUUCGGAAUUACUGGGCGUAAAGGGUGUGUAGGCGGGAAAGUAAGAUAGUGGUGAAAUGCCUGAGCUCAACUUGGCAACUGCCAUUAUAACUAUUUUUCUAGAGUGACAGAGAGGAUAUUGGAAUACCCAGUGUAGAGGUGAAAUUCGUAGAUAUUGGGUAGAACACCGGAGGCGAAGGCGAGUAUCUGGCUGUCAACUGACGCUGAGGCACGAGAGCAUGGGGAUCAAACAGGAUUAGAUACCCUGGUAGUCCAU